GGAUUAGAUACCCUGGUAGUCCACGCCGUAAACGAUGAGCACUAGUUAUUGGAGGUAUUGACUCCUCCAGUGACGCAGCUAACGCAUUAAGUGCUCCGCCUGGGGAGUACGGUCGCAAGACUAAAACUCAAACAAAUUGACGGGGGCCCGCACAAGCGGUGGAUUAUGUGGUUUAAUUCGAAGCAACGCGCAGAACCUUACCUAGGCUUGAACUCCUACGAAUCCGGGGUAAUGCCUGGAGUGUCCGCAAGGAAAUGUAGUGAGAGGUGCUGCAUGGCUGUCGUCAGCUCGUGCCG
This 296-nucleotide ribosomal RNA is filed under the name uncultured bacterium. RNAcentral describes it as "partial 16S ribosomal RNA". It matches the Rfam family "Bacterial small subunit ribosomal RNA", at positions 775 to 1067 of the family's 1533-position model. The record is from RNAcentral.